Asparagus officinalis (garden asparagus) is the source of this 264-nucleotide long non-coding RNA. RefSeq lists it as uncharacterized. Lineage: Eukaryota; Viridiplantae; Streptophyta; Magnoliopsida; Asparagales; Asparagaceae. The transcript has 3 exons. The record is from RefSeq and is a predicted model, not a curated record.
UUCAGUUUAGACUUUCCGCCCGCUUACCAGAACUGGGAAGUAAUUGAUCCUAUGGAUCUUUUCCGCGCACCAGUAUUCAAAUCCGAAUCAAACCCAAAGGCUCAUAUUCGUCGUCAUUUGUCUCAAGAAGCGCGAGGUUGUGCCUCUCUUGUACUGUGGUUAGACUGUGAUAGAGAAGGUGAAAAUAUCUGUUAUGAAGUUAUUGAAUGUACUGGGUUCCCUGCAUCUGAAUCGGGAAGAAGAAUUUAUCGUGCUCGAUUUCAU